Molecule: long non-coding RNA, 844 nt
Organism: Hippocampus zosterae (dwarf seahorse)
Lineage: Eukaryota; Metazoa; Chordata; Actinopteri; Syngnathiformes; Syngnathidae
Exons: 2
Source: RefSeq, a predicted model, not a curated record
GUUGCACAUACCAGAUUGAGUUGCAAUUCAUUAAUAAUGUGACACAAAAUAUUCAUUCCUAUUUAAGUUGUAUUAAAUUAUGUUACUUCUUCAGUUUUAGGUUUUAUAAAGUACAUUUUAGAGUGCUAUUUUCCUUAUCAAAAACAUGAGAAAAGUUGAUGGGGGGGGGAUACGAGAGUUUUGUUUGGUUUUGGAACAAAUCCAAGUCAUAUUUCAAGGCACCAUGCAAUAGUUCAUUUGUUAUUAAAACAAAAAUAACCAAACCAAAAACAAAGAAACAAAACAACAACCAGCCCAUUCAACAAUGUAUGCAAAUAUGGCGGAUUGGCCUUGCUUCUCUUAAGGCCCCUAUCUCACUGAGGGGCAAAAAUUGCGACAGUCGGAGGAAGUAGAAAAACUUGAAUUCACGUCAGAGUUUGUUCAAGGUUCGCAAAACCUCCGUCAACAGUUAGUGAUUUUUCUUGCGACAGGAAAAGUACAGGUGAAUGUCUGGCGACCAUUGGGUGACCUUGAAUGAACCCCGAUGACCAUUCGCCGCCUUCGAAAACACUCGCAGUUGUUUGAAGUUCAGUGGCAAAUUAAAAGCAAUAUUUUAUUUUGGGUUGGGAGUGUUAACACAUGACUACUGUCGUGGUGGGACAGCAACUUUUAUGCGUGUUUGAUGUACAGUAAUCCUGAAAACAGCUCCCGCUGCUCACUCAGUGCUAUAAAACACAACAUGCACACUGGCAUUGUGCACCCAACAGGCACAAAACAUUUCUCGAGAAGUGACAUCACACACGCACACACCUACACAACCACACACUGCAUGUCUCCUUGGGAUGCAUAAAAAUCUUUAAAAUCU